GAUGAACGUUAGCGGGAGGCUUAAUACAUGCAAGUCGAGCGGUAAGUUUUUAUAGCAAUAUGAAGACCUAGAGCGGCGCACGGGUGAGUAACGCGUACACGACCUGGCCUAAACUGGGGGAUAGCCUUGGGAAACUGAGAGUAAUCCCGCAUGUGAUUAUGUUACUGAUGGUGAUAUAAUUAAAGCUUCGGCGGUUUAGGAUGGGUGUGCGUCUGAUUAGCUAGUUGGUAGUGUAACGGACUACCAAGGCGAUGAUCAGUAGGGGGCGUGAGAGCGUGACCCCCCACCACGGGUACGUGAGACACGGACCCGACU
RNAcentral lists this ribosomal RNA (315 nucleotides) under uncultured bacterium. RNAcentral's name for it is "bacterial SSU rRNA". It matches the Rfam family "Bacterial small subunit ribosomal RNA", at positions 28 to 337 of the family's 1533-position model. The record is from RNAcentral.